Alligator mississippiensis (American alligator) is the source of this 140-nucleotide small nucleolar RNA. It matches the Rfam family "Small nucleolar RNA SNORA5". Rfam says of the family: ACA5 is a member of the H/ACA class of snoRNA that guide the sites of modification of uridines to pseudouridines. NCBI's taxonomy places the organism in Eukaryota, Metazoa, Chordata, Crocodylia, Alligatoridae. The record is from Rfam.
UGCAGCUGUGUCAAAUUCGGUACCUGCCUUCUCUGUGGUGGGUACCGGCCCUAACAGCUGCCACAGAAACACCUGUAGCUCAUGGGCCCCAUGUCUCUUUCUCUUUGGACCCUGGGGAUAAAUAUCUGCUACAGACAUUG